RNAcentral lists this ribosomal RNA (375 nucleotides) under Triticum aestivum (bread wheat). RNAcentral describes it as "partial small subunit ribosomal RNA". Lineage: Eukaryota; Viridiplantae; Streptophyta; Magnoliopsida; Poales; Poaceae. The record is from RNAcentral.
AUGGUUCUUCGCAAUCUCUUCAACCGCUUCAAAAGACUCGACAAUGAAAAUGUUCAGCAAACUUUCGAUCGCCUCACUGACAUCUCAAAUGAGCUUCAAGCGCUUGGCGCCACUGACAUCACCGACCAUGAGGUGGUGAAGAAAUUGCUGAGAUCGCUAGAUUCCUCAUUUGAUACUCUAGCACUGAUGAUUCAAGAGCGAGCUGAUUACAAUUCACUAGAUCCAGCUGAUAUCCUCGAGAGGCUAAAUACUCAUGAGUUCCAGGCUAUUGAAAAACUUCAAAACAUGCUAGACAAAAGUGAUGAUAUGUUGGGUGAUGAAAUGGACCGCACUAAAGACUUAACUAAAAAUCUUCAGAGACUUCAGUCUAAGUUU